GACGAACGCUGGCGGCGUGCUUAACACAUGCAAGUCGAACGGAAAGGCCCCUUCGGGGGUACUCGAGUGGCGAACGGGUGAGUAACACGUGGGUGAUCUGCCCUGCACUUCGGGAUAAGCCUGGGAAACUGGGUCUAAUACCGGAUAGGACCACGGGAUGCAUGUCCUGUGGUGGAAAGCUUUUGCGGUGUGGGAUGGGCCCGCGGCCUAUCAGCUUGUUGGUGGGGUGACGGCCUACCAAGGCGACGACGGGUAGCCGGCCUGAGAGGGUGUCCGGCCACACUGGGACUGAGAUACGGCCCAGACUCCUACGGGAGGCAGCAGUGGGGAAUAUUGCACAAUGGGCGCAAGCCUGAUGCAGCGACGCCGCGUGGGGGAUGACGGCCUUCGGGUUGUAAACCUCUUUCACCAUCGACGAAGGUCCGGGUUUUCUCGGAUUGACGGUAGGUGGAGAAGAAGCACCGGCCAACUACGUGCCAGCAGCCGCGGUAAUACGUAGGGUGCGAGCGUUGUCCGGAAUUACUGGGCGUAAAGAGCUCGUAGGUGGUUUGUCGCGUUGUUCGUGAAAUCUCACGGCUUAACUGUGAGCGUGCGGGCGAUACGGGCAGACUGGAGUACUGCAGGGGAGACUGGAAUUCCUGGUGUAGCGGUGGAAUGCGCAGAUAUCAGGAGGAACACCGGUGGCGAAGGCGGGUCUCUGGGCAGUAACUGACGCUGAGGAGCGAAAGCGUGGGGAGCGAACAGGAUUAGAUACCCUGGUAGUCCACGCCGUAAACGGUGGGUACUAGGUGUGGGUUUCCUUCCUUGGGAUCCGUGCCGUAGCUAACGCAUUAAGUACCCCGCCUGGGGAGUACGGCCGCAAGGCUAAAACUCAAAGGAAUUGACGGGGGCCCGCACAAGCGGCGGAGCAUGUGGAUUAAUUCGAUGCAACGCGAAGAACCUUACCUGGGUUUGACAUGCACAGGACGCCGGCAGAGAUGUCGGUUCCCUUGUGGCCUGUGUGCAGGUGGUGCAUGGCUGUCGUCAGCUCGUGUCGUGAGAUGUUGGGUUAAGUCCCGCAACGAGCGCAACCCUUGUCUCAUGUUGCCAGCGGGUAAUGCCGGGGACUCGUGAGAGACUGCCGGGGUCAACUCGGAGGAAGGUGGGGAUGACGUCAAGUCAUCAUGCCCCUUAUGUCCAGGGCUUCACACAUGCUACAAUGGCCGGUACAAAGGGCUGCGAUGCCGCGAGGUUAAGCGAAUCCUUUUAAAGCCGGUCUCAGUUCGGAUCGGGGUCUGCAACUCGACCCCGUGAAGUCGGAGUCGCUAGUAAUCGCAGAUCAGCAACGCUGCGGUGAAUACGUUCCCGGGCCUUGUACACACCGCCCGUCACGUCAUGAAAGUCGGUAACACCCGAAGCCAGUGGCCUAACCCUUUGGGAGGGAGCUGUCGAAGGUGGGAUCGGCGAUUGGGACGAAGUCGUAACAA
This 1466-nucleotide ribosomal RNA is filed under the name Mycobacterium asiaticum. RNAcentral's name for it is "16S ribosomal RNA". It matches the Rfam family "Bacterial small subunit ribosomal RNA". The record is from RNAcentral. Lineage: Bacteria; Bacillati; Actinomycetota; Actinomycetes; Mycobacteriales; Mycobacteriaceae.